ACAGCCGAGAGAGAGACCGAGGGCGCCGACCGGCACUGGACGGCGUCGACGCGUGGCCUCGACGUGGCAGCGCCGAACCGAGGCUUCACCUCCACCCAGCUGCAUCGCCUCCUCCCCAUUACCACUCCUGAGCCAAGCAAACCGAGGGGGAGAGCUCCGGCUUUUCUUUUUCAUCUCGACCUUGCCGCCGGCCGUGAAGACGACGGCCGUCGCCAUCGCCAUUGUACCUGCAGCCACGAGAACGCAGAGCUCGCCGACGAUGCUCUGGAGCGCGCACUGGACGCCGUCGUCGGGUUCUCGUCGUCGUUUUGACCGAACCGAACCACCCCAAGCCGAACACUUGCGCCACCAGGAUAGCCUCGACGUCCUCUUCGAAAGCCCUCAAGAACUCCAGCCAGUGCCGCAACGACGAGGGAGAUCGGCGUCUUCUUCCUCAAGUCCGGCCGCCGACCACCGUCGUUGAUUCCUUGAUCCCGGGUGAGCUUCGGCGCAAUUCCUCACUCGUGUAGCAUCUUUAGAUGAUCGUUGAGCCGUUCCACUCUUUUUCAUGACAGCUCGAAGUCCGGAUGGUGGUUGUUACCGUUGCCAUGCCGAUUUCCGCCGUGGGGAUAUCCUCUGCAUCAUCGUCACUAUCCAGGCCUACCCGUACCUCGUCCGAGAUUUGAUAAUUGCUUAAUCGGUGAAGAAGUGAAUUAGGUGCUGACAUUUUCCAAAUUCAAGGCAAGUCCCACCUCCCUCUCUUUGAUCACAUUGAACCUAUGUUUUGGAGAUUAUUGAAAAUGUUUGCAAAUCUUGCAUGUCGAUUGUACACUAAUAAAUUAAAAUUUUGUUAAACUUGAUAGACAAACUCGUACUACUUGCAUUAUCAUCUUAACUGCACAUAUAUCCAUAUCCCUCAUUCCUAACCUUAGGAACAAUAUGACUAUACCACUUUAUAUAUGAGUUUUGGUGACACUAGGUUACUAUAAUGCUUAGCCAUGCUUAGAAUGGUCUUCCUUGUCAUUAUGGGCUCAUUACAAAUAUGAAAAUUGAUUUUUAAAUAAUCUUGACAGAACUUUAAUACUUGUGAUUUUGAUAAAUAAAAUGGUGGAAAACAUGGAUUUUAGGUUUAGGCCUUAAGUGGUGCACAUAUAGUGAUUAGUUGUGUACCGAUAGGGAGAGAGUGUGCCCAAACCGACCUAAGGACUUCACUCAAUGUCAGUUCAUUUCGUAUACAAUACAACCACAUAUGCUAGUAUGGGAUAGCCCAAGCUUAGUAAAUUAUUUAUGUUUUAGCCUUACAUUCUGGUAGGUCGGUGUGUAUGAGUUCGUAUAAUUCAGAGGAGCUUCCUAUUUACCCUGAAGUAGUAGUUUAGGUGACUAAGCGUGUCCAAUACAAUGGUAUUGUGCCACGUGGUGGGUUCCCAUUGUGUCCGCCACCACGGCGUUAAGUUUAAGGCGUGGGCCCGCCACUUAACAGUUCUAGGUCAUAUUUCCAGUAUGACUAGGAUGGAGGAACACGUAUCGUGCUGGUGUAAGGCUAAAUCAUGAAUUUUGGAAAAGCUUUGUUGUAGGUAAUAAAUCAGGUACUUAUGUAUCACAUGCCAUGCUCUUGAAUGAUUAUUAUUUCGCAUUAUGUGGGUAAAGUGUACAAACUCUGCAGAGUAAAAACUAAUCGAUUAGCUGUGCUCGCGGUCAUGAGCGGCGUGUGGAUAUGUAUUGAGUAUAGACUUACCUUCAAAUUGUGAUGAGAUUUGAGAAUCAUCUCCUUGCUGCCAUGGAUGGCAAUGAGGUGCAUAUUUACACAUGAUUAAUGUCUACUUUGAUGCUCAUAUGCUAAAAUACUAGCUUGCUGAAAUUUAUUUGAAAGCAAAUCUUAUUUGAAAGUGUUUUAUGCAAAUAAAACUUGCUUUAUGCUAAAAAGAACCAUAUUAUGCCUUCCUUGAUUAUAUGCCUUGCAAGUAGGGUGUUAGGUUUGUCUUGGUGCUUGCCAGUACAUUAUUUCUAAUAAUGUGCUGACUCUUUCUGUCGGAGAUAUGGGCCCGGGGGUAUAUGAAGUGAGGGGAAGUUACCUUCCCAUCCAGCCGUGUGGCUCUACAGCCUAACCCUACUCCCGCACCUCGCGAGUCACAGAAGCAGCCGGGGGGCCUCGGGAUGCCACGUCGUGCCCCUCUGGCUCGCCCGCUACCUCG
Molecule: non-coding RNA, 2171 nt
Organism: Oryza sativa Japonica Group (Japanese rice)
Lineage: Eukaryota; Viridiplantae; Streptophyta; Magnoliopsida; Poales; Poaceae
Source: RefSeq, a predicted model, not a curated record